CCGGGGUCUUCACCGAGCUCAUUAAAGGAUUCGGUUGCCGAGGAGCCCAAGUAGAAGAAAUAUGGAGUUUAGAGCCUGAGAAUUUUGAAAAAUUAAAGCCAGUUCAUGGGUUAAUUUUUCUUUUCAAGUGGCAGCCAGGAGAAGAACCAGCAGGCUCUGUGGUUCAGGACUCCCGACUUGACACGAUAUUUUUUGCUAAGCAGGUAUGGUCCUUGGAUACUCUGAAAAGUCUCAAGAGCAACCCUUUUUAUAAACAAGACUCUAGUUUACUACUGUUUGCUACUAGUGUAGUAGUCCUCAAAACUCUUACACUCUUAAAAAUUAUUGACAUCUCCACUUACACUCUUAAAAAUUAUUGACAUCUCCACUUAUACUCUUAAAAAUUAUUGACAUCUCAAAAGAGCUUUUGUUUCUGGGAUUAUCUAUCAAUGUUUGCCAUAUUAGACAUU
RNAcentral lists this small RNA (449 nucleotides) under Pongo abelii (Sumatran orangutan). RNAcentral describes it as "processed transcript". The record is from RNAcentral. Lineage: Eukaryota; Metazoa; Chordata; Mammalia; Primates; Hominidae.